RNAcentral lists this non-coding RNA (48 nucleotides) under Schistosoma mattheei. Lineage: Eukaryota; Metazoa; Platyhelminthes; Trematoda; Strigeidida; Schistosomatidae. The record is from RNAcentral.
AUCUAGCUGAUAAGUCCCAAAUAGGACGAAACGCGUGUCAGGCUGGAU